GGGGAGCUUGCUCCCUGGUGGCGAGCGGCGGACGGGUGAGUAAUGCAUAGGAAUCUGCCCGAUAGUGGGGGAUAACCUGGGGAAACCCAGGCUAAUACCGCAUACGUCCUACGGGAGAAAGCAGGGGAUCUUCGGACCUUGCGCUAUCGGAUGAGCCUAUGUCGGAUUAGCUGGUUGGUGAGGUAACGGCUCACCAAGGCGACGAUCCGUAGCUGGUCUGAGAGGAUGAUCAGCCACACUGGGACUGAGACACGGCCCAGACUCCUACGGGAGGCAGCAGUGGGGAAUAUUGGACAAUGGGCGAAAGCCUGAUCCAGCCAUGCCGCGUGUGUGAAGAAGGCUUUCGGGUUGUAAAGCACUUUCAGUGGGGAAGAAGGCCUGGCGGCCAAUACCCGUCAGGAACGACAUCACCCACAGAAGAAGCACCGGCUAACUCCGUGCCAGCAGCCGCGGUAAUACGGAGGGUGCGAGCGUUAAUCGGAAUUACUGGGCGUAAAGCGCGCGUAGGCGGCUUGAUAAGCCGGUUGUGAAAGCCCCGGGCUCAACCUGGGAACGGCAUCCGGAACUGUCAGGCUAGAGUGCAGGAGAGGAAGGUAGAAUUCCCGGUGUAGCGGUGAAAUGCGUAGAGAUCGGGAGGAAUACCAGUGGCGAAGGCGGCCUUCUGGACUGACACUGACGCUGAGGUGCGAAAGCGUGGGUAGCAAACAGGAUUAGAUACCCUGGUAGUCCACGCCGUAAACGAUGUCGACCAGCCGUUGGGUGCCUCGCGCACUUAGUGGCGAAGUUAACGCGAUAAGUCGACCGCC
Molecule: ribosomal RNA, 806 nt
Filed under: Halomonas sp. NH70
Lineage: Bacteria; Pseudomonadati; Pseudomonadota; Gammaproteobacteria; Oceanospirillales; Halomonadaceae
Description: bacterial SSU rRNA
Rfam family: Bacterial small subunit ribosomal RNA
Source: RNAcentral